Molecule: ribosomal RNA, 440 nt
Filed under: uncultured bacterium
Lineage: Bacteria
Description: partial 16S ribosomal RNA
Rfam family: Bacterial small subunit ribosomal RNA
Source: RNAcentral
CCUACGGGUGGCAGCAGUGGGGAAUAUUGCACAAUGGGGGAAACCCUGAUGCAGCGACGCCGCGUGAGUGAAGAAGGAUUUCGGGAUGUAAAGCUCUAUCAGCAGGGAAGAAAAUGACGGUACCUGAUUAAGAAGCCACGGCGAACUACGGGCCAGAAGCCGCGGUAAGACGGAGGGGGCAAGCGUUAUCCGGAUUUACUGGGUGGAAAGGGAGCGUAGACGGCAGCACAAGUCUGGAGUGAAAUGCCGGGGCUUAACCCCGGAACUGCUUUGGAAACUGUGUAGCUAGAGUGCAGGAGAGGUAAGUGGAAUUCCUGGUGUAGCGGUGAAAUGCGUAGAUAUUAGGAGGAACACCAGUGGCGAAGGCGGCUUACUGGACUGUAACUGACGUUGAGGCUCGAAAGCGUGGGGAGCAAACAGGAUUAGAUACCCCAGUAGUC